This 254-nucleotide ribosomal RNA is filed under the name uncultured bacterium. Its description in RNAcentral is "partial 16S ribosomal RNA". It matches the Rfam family "Bacterial small subunit ribosomal RNA", at positions 524 to 776 of the family's 1533-position model. The record is from RNAcentral.
UACGUAGGGAGCAAGCGUUGUUCGGAUUUACUGGGCGUAAAGGGCGCGAAGGCGGCAUAUUAAGUCAUCUGUGAAAUCUCCGAGCUUAACUCGGAACUGUCAGCUGAUACUGAUGUGCUAGAGUGCGGAAGGGGCAAUCGGAAUUCUUGGUGUAGCGGUGAAAUGCGUAGAUAUCAAGAGGAACACCUGAGGUGAAGACGGGUUGCUGGGCCGACACUGACGCUGAGUGCGCGAAAGCCAGGGGAGCAAACGGG